RNAcentral lists this ribosomal RNA (591 nucleotides) under Triticum aestivum (bread wheat). RNAcentral describes it as "partial small subunit ribosomal RNA". Lineage: Eukaryota; Viridiplantae; Streptophyta; Magnoliopsida; Poales; Poaceae. The record is from RNAcentral.
AUGGGCGCAGGAGAACGAGCUCGCCGCCGCUGCAGCACGCUAGGCAACUGUCGCGGCCACAGACUAUGGGAAGGAGGAGGCCAACAAGGCAGGGGCGAUGUCAAGUUGAGAUGCGAGCAACACCGCAUCGGAAUGAUGAAGGAGAGGCUGCGUGACUCCAAGGUGAGGCCGGCGUUGCAGCAGCAAGCCGAGAGGAGCCUCGCCGGCAAGAGGGCCCUCGUCACCGGCAGAACCAAAGGAAUCGGGCGCGCGAUCGUGGAGGAGCUCACGGGGUUUGGCGUACGGGUGCACACCUGCUCCCGGAGCGACGCCGACCUGCAUGAGCGCCUGCGCGGUUGGCAGGCCGACGCGGACGCCGGCCGACUGCGCGGCCGCGUUCCGGGCUCCGCAUCCGACGUCUCCGUGCGCGGCGACAGGAAGCGGCUCGUGGCCACGGCCCGCGCCGAGAUGGGGGGCAAGCUGGACAUCCUCGUCAACAACGCCGGCCAGUCCUUCUACGGGGCGGCCACGGACUACGUUGCACGGAUACUUCAGAAAGCGCGCGUAUCCAGUUGGAUACUGCCCCGAUACGAUUCGAUACUUAUCCUGUAA